UACGUAGGUGGCAAGCGUUGUCCGGAAUUAUUGGGCGUAAAGCGCGCGCAGGCGGUUUCUUAAGUCUGAUGUGAAAGCCCCCGGCUCAACCGGGGAGGGUCAUUGGAAACUGGGAAACUUGAGUGCAGAAGAGGAAAGUGGAAUUCCAAGUGUAGCGGUGAAAUGCGUAGAGAUUUGGAGGAACACCCGUGGCGAAGGCGGUUCUCUGGGACGGUACUGACGCUGAGACGCGAAAGCGUGGGGAGCGAACAGG
Molecule: ribosomal RNA, 253 nt
Filed under: uncultured bacterium
Lineage: Bacteria
Description: partial 16S ribosomal RNA
Rfam family: Bacterial small subunit ribosomal RNA
Source: RNAcentral